Long non-coding RNA from Bufo bufo (common toad), 147 nucleotides. RefSeq lists it as uncharacterized. The transcript is spliced from 3 exons. NCBI's taxonomy places the organism in Eukaryota, Metazoa, Chordata, Amphibia, Anura, Bufonidae. The record is from RefSeq and is a predicted model, not a curated record.
UGUCAGAAAUUUAGGCCGAGAUUAGUGUUGAGCGGCAUGUCCCAUAUUCGAAUUCGCGAAAUUUCGCGAAUAUUCGAAAGAAUAUUCGUAAAAUAUUCGUGAAUAUUCAAAUUCGUUAUUAUUUCGCAUAUGCGAUAAUUCGAUAAU